RNAcentral lists this long non-coding RNA (721 nucleotides) under Dasypus novemcinctus (nine-banded armadillo). RNAcentral's name for it is "lncRNA (ENSDNOG00000051498.1)". The record is from RNAcentral. Lineage: Eukaryota; Metazoa; Chordata; Mammalia; Cingulata; Dasypodidae.
CAAACAAUACAGAAAUGAUCCACCAGGGGAGUUACCACCUCUGAGUCAACUAGGAGGCGGUGCUGGAAUCAAGAAGCUGCUGCUACCUCUAAUCAACAUUUCCACAACUUUACUUGCCAGCAAAAACGGCUAAAAAAGGAAGCAGUUUCUGCCCUUCACAUCUCAUGCUGAAUGCAUUAACUUGGUGGAAGACAAUUUGCCUCUGGAAACAUGAAUGCAAAGGAGUCUGGUAAAUAUUGUGCUCAACUUUCAACCUCCCCACCUAGAGGAAAGCUGGAACAGAGACUGGAACCUACACAACAGCCUACUUUCAUUGCCCUUUCCACCAUGUUCGUUCCCUUAAGCCUCCCAGCAGCCCUNUCAGGGGUAACAGACUGGUCUGCAUCCCUCCCAUUAGCACCAUCAUCUCCAUCACCGAGUUCACCAAGUGUUUCACAUCUGUGCUCUCACUCCAUCCUUGCAACAGCCCUCUGAGGACUGUUCUGCUGUUGGGAUCAUAGGUACUGAAAUCCCUGGCUUUUCUUUGGGUCUUGAAGUUGGUAUUUUUUAAGUAUAAGAGUAAAGAUAGGAUCAGAAAAGAAAAAUUGGAUAACCUGAUAGAGAAAGACUCUUUAAAAUCAGUUUGUUCUUGAGGGUCAUUUUGCUGAGAUUAUCUUUUUGGCACUUCUGUUAGUUUUUUGCUACUGAGAGAGUAGUGCUCACAAAAGAAAAGAAGAAAGAG